Molecule: ribosomal RNA, 301 nt
Filed under: uncultured bacterium
Lineage: Bacteria
Description: partial 16S ribosomal RNA
Rfam family: Bacterial small subunit ribosomal RNA
Source: RNAcentral
CAGUCGCCACGGGAAUACGAAGGGGGCUAGCGUUGUUCGGAUUUACUGGGCGUAAAGCGCACGUAGGCGGAUUCUUAAGUCAGAGGUGAAAUCCCAAGGCUCAACCUUGGAACUGCCUUUGAUACUGGGGAUCUUGAGUCCGGGAGAGGUGAGUGGAACUGCGAGUGUAGAGGUGAAAUGCGUAGAUAUCGGAAGGAACACCUGUGGCGAAAGCGGCUCACUGAACCAUUUCUGACGCUGAUGCGCGAAAGCUAGGGGAGCAAACAGGAUUAGAUACCCCAGUAGUCCCUGUCUCUUAUAC